RNAcentral lists this ribosomal RNA (495 nucleotides) under uncultured bacterium. Its description in RNAcentral is "partial 16S ribosomal RNA". It matches the Rfam family "Bacterial small subunit ribosomal RNA", at positions 28 to 507 of the family's 1533-position model. The record is from RNAcentral.
GAUGAACGCUGGCGGCGUGCCUAAUACAUGCAAGUCGAACGCUGAAGGAGGAGCUUGCUCUUCUGGAUGAGUUGCGAACGGGUGAGUAACGCGUAGGUAACCUGCCUGGUAGCGGGGGAUAACUAUUGGAAACGAUAGCUAAUACCGCAUGACAACAGUUAUUGCAUGAUAACUGUUUAAAAGGGGCAACUGCUCCACUACCAGAUGGACCUGCGUUGUAUUAGCUAGUUGGUGAGGUAACGGCUCACCAAGGCGACGAUACAUAGCCGACCUGAGAGGGUGAUCGGCCACACUGGGACUGAGACACGGCCCAGACUCCUACGGGAGGCAGCAGUAGGGAAUCUUCGGCAAUGGACGGAAGUCUGAACGAGCAACGCCGCGUGAGUGAAGAAGGUUGUCGGAUCGUAAAGCUCUGUUGUAAGAGAAGAACGAGUGUGAGGGUGGAAAGUUCACACUGUGACGGUAGCUUACCAGAAAGGGACGGCUAACUACGUG